This is a long non-coding RNA of Acipenser ruthenus (sterlet), 229 nucleotides long. RefSeq lists it as uncharacterized. The record is from RefSeq and is a predicted model, not a curated record. The transcript is spliced from 3 exons. NCBI's taxonomy places the organism in Eukaryota, Metazoa, Chordata, Actinopteri, Acipenseriformes, Acipenseridae.
GCUGUGUGGAGAGCCCGCUUGCUAGGGUGUGCAAGCCCUGCCUGAUUUGAAAUAUGACUGCACUGUUGUGAGGGGACUUGCAUAGCAUCUCAUCUCAACGUACUUUCACUGGCUACAACUUGGAAACAAACAUGAGGGAUGCCCCUGAAGAAUAUCCCGGGGAGUCAGUCCAAGUGGGUUCAAAUUCACUGUGUGACGGAGCUUCAUUGCUUUGGUUCAUACCUGUCCU